This 470-nucleotide ribosomal RNA is filed under the name uncultured bacterium. Its description in RNAcentral is "bacterial SSU rRNA". It matches the Rfam family "Bacterial small subunit ribosomal RNA", at positions 917 to 1382 of the family's 1533-position model. The record is from RNAcentral.
GGGCCCGCACAAGCAGUGGAGCGUGUGGUUUAAUUCGAGGCAACGCGCAGAACCUUACCAGGGUUUGACAUCAUACUGACGUCUGUAGAAACACAGAUUUCCGUUUAGGCGGACGGUAUGACAGGUGUUGCAUGGUUGUCGUCAGCUCGUGUCGUGAGAUGUUGGGUUAAGUCCCGCAACGAGCGCAACCCCUAUCCAAUGUUGCCAACAGGUAAAGCUGGGGACUCAUUGGAGACUGCCGGAGACGAUCUGGAGGAAGGUGGGGAUGAGGUCAAAUCAUCAUGGCCCUUAAGCCCUGGGCUACACACGCGCUACAAUGGCCGGUACAACGGGCAGCGAAGGAGCGAUCUGGAGCGAAUCCCAAAAAGCCGGCCCCAGUUGGAAUCGCAGGCUGCAACCCGCCUGCGUGAACAUGGAAUUGCUAGUAAUCGCGAAUCAGCUACGUCGCGGUGAAUACGUUCCCGGGCCUU